UACGUAGGGGGCGAGCGUUGUCCGGAAUCACUGGGCGUAAAGGGUGCGUAGGCGGUUCUUUAAGUCCGGGGUGAAAUCCUGGAGCUCAACUCCAGAACUGCCUUUGAUACUGAAGAUCUUGAGUUCGGGAGAGGUGAGUGGAACUGCGAGUGUAGAGGUGAAAUUCGUAGAUAUUCGCAAGAACACCAGUGGCGAAGGCGGCUCACUGGCCCGAGACUGACGCUGAGGCACGAAAGCGUGGGGAGCAAACAGG
This 253-nucleotide ribosomal RNA is filed under the name uncultured bacterium. RNAcentral describes it as "partial 16S ribosomal RNA". It matches the Rfam family "Bacterial small subunit ribosomal RNA", at positions 524 to 776 of the family's 1533-position model. The record is from RNAcentral.